This is a long non-coding RNA of Olea europaea var. sylvestris, 401 nucleotides long. RefSeq lists it as uncharacterized. The record is from RefSeq and is a predicted model, not a curated record. NCBI's taxonomy places the organism in Eukaryota, Viridiplantae, Streptophyta, Magnoliopsida, Lamiales, Oleaceae. The transcript has 3 exons.
CAUCACUUUCUGGUGCUGCCUUUAGUUCUUUCACUGUAUAUUAAUUUUUCAACAGGAUAACCUUUUGUUUCCACUAAUAUGUCCUGAGUGGAAUGCUGAUGAGGAGAUAUUACUUCUGGAGGGUAUUGAAAUGUAUGGACUGGGGAAUUGGGCUGAAGUUGCAGAACAUGUUGGAACAAAAAGUAAGGCGCUCUGUAUUGAGCAUUAUAACACCAUCUAUAUGAAGUCGCCUACCUUUCCUCUUCCGGACAUGUCUCAUGUUAUUGGAAAGAGUAGAGAGGAACUCCUUGCUAUGGCCAAAGAACAUGCUGAAAUCUGUAAAGGUUAGCUUAUCAAAAUAUACGAGCAUUGAAAUUGAAAAUCUUGCAAGAGAAAAUUAAAUGUCCGGCAUCUUUUGUGUA